This 373-nucleotide long non-coding RNA is filed under the name Sarcophilus harrisii (Tasmanian devil). RNAcentral's name for it is "lncRNA (ENSSHAG00000027062.1)". Lineage: Eukaryota; Metazoa; Chordata; Mammalia; Dasyuromorphia; Dasyuridae. The record is from RNAcentral.
AUGUCAACCCUUGUGUUGUGGAAUUACAGGUACAGUUCCAUCUAUACAUCCCUAGAGCUGACACCACCUCAGUACCCCUGCUUAAGAAGGACUAGGUCACCUCAUAUAUUAGGAAAAAUAACCACCAAUAAGGGGAAGAAAGCUAAAUUAUUGCAAAAGAAAUUCUUAGUGCUUUGCUUGCUGUUUCAGUCUUCCUCAUCUCUCUGGGAAACAGACAGAGAAUGACCAUUCACAGUUCACCACUCUUCAAGCAAGUUCAAGAAACUAGAUGAAAAAUAUAAAAAUAUGAUCUCUCUUUCCUCCAUCCAAUUUCAUCAUACUUUGUAUUCAAAUGAGAUGUGAAGCAUAUUUCAAAUUUUAUAUAUAAAUGUAU